AAUAAACGCUGGCGGCGUGCUUAACACAUGCAAGUCGAGCGGUAAGGCCUUUCGGGGUACACGAGCGGCGAACGGGUGAGUAACACGUGGGUGACCUGCCCUCCACUCUGGGAUAAGCCCGGGAAACGGGGUCUAAUACCGGAUAUGACCUUCUCCGGCAUGGGGGUGGGUGGAAAGUUUUUCGGUGGGGGAUGGGCCCGCGGCCUAUCAGCUUGUUGGUGGGGUGAUGGCCUACCAAGGCGACGACGGGUAGCCGGCCUGAGAGGGCGACCGGCCACACUGGGACUGAGACACGGCCCAGACUCCUACGGGAGGCAGCAGUGGGGAAUAUUGCGCAAUGGGCGAAAGCCUGACGCAGCGACGCCGCGUGGGGGAUGACGGCCUUCGGGUUGUAAACCUCUUUCGCCAGGGACGAAGCGCAAGUGACGGUACCUGGAUAAGAAGCACCGGCCAACUACGUGCCAGCCGCCGCAGUAA
Molecule: ribosomal RNA, 477 nt
Filed under: uncultured bacterium
Lineage: Bacteria
Description: partial 16S ribosomal RNA
Rfam family: Bacterial small subunit ribosomal RNA
Source: RNAcentral